AGCGGAGGAAAAGAAACUAA
RNAcentral lists this non-coding RNA (20 nucleotides) under Arabidopsis thaliana (thale cress). RNAcentral also lists the same sequence under 1 other name. Lineage: Eukaryota; Viridiplantae; Streptophyta; Magnoliopsida; Brassicales; Brassicaceae. The record is from RNAcentral.